UACGUAGGGGGCAAGCGUUAUCCGGAUUUACUGGGUGUAAAGGGAGCGCAGACGGCAUGGCAAGCCCGGAGUGAAAGCCCAUGGCCCAACCAUGGGACUGCUCUGGGAACUGCCAGGCUAGAGUGCAGGAGGGGUAAGUGGAAUUCCUGGUGUAGCGGUGAAAUGCGCAGAUAUCAGGAGGAACACCAGUGGCGGAGGCGGCUUACUGGACUGCAACUGACGUUGAGGCUCGAAAGCGUGGGGAGCAAACAGG
Molecule: ribosomal RNA, 253 nt
Filed under: uncultured bacterium
Lineage: Bacteria
Description: partial 16S ribosomal RNA
Rfam family: Bacterial small subunit ribosomal RNA
Source: RNAcentral